UGGAAAGGUGUAGUUGGGGGCGGUGCGGGGAAUGGGCGGCGGCGGUCGGUGUGGCGUAGGAGCCUAGUACCGCCCUGGCCGGGCGGUGGAAAGGAUGCUGCGGUGGAGACGAAUUGGGCUGGAUGGGAAGUGCAAGGGGCGUGAAGCGCUCUGCAAGUCGUAGAGGACGCCACGAGCGCCCGCUAUCGAUCGGUCCGCGAAAGAGCAUUUAUUAAGCGCCUAGUGUUGUGCCACGCAGCGUGCUAAGCGCUGGGGAUACAAAGAAAGCCAGUACCCCUCCCCACAGUUCCAGCUCUCGGGAGCUCACUGCCUAAUGCAAAUAACUAUGUGCAAGCAGAUGUGUACGGGAUAAAUUAGGGAUAGUCUCGGGACCCGAGAUUGAAGGAAUGCUGACGCUGCUGCGGCCUCACAGUUAUGAGAUAAAGUGCCUUAUAAACCUUAAAAGCACAACUAUUAUUGGGUGAAAUGUAACUCUUUGAUAUUGGAAAGGCCGUCAGUCACAGCUCUAGAGCUGUGUGAAUAAAGCAGUGAGAGAAUAUGACCUUGAGGGAUUUGGGAUGUGGGGGGCGCUUAUAAUGGUGGGAGCAUUGUGAUAAUUAGGAGAGUGAUGACUGGAAAAUUGGGGGCUCCGUCUCAGGAACAGAAUUUUUUAAAAAUCAUGUGUAAUUGAGCAAAUAGCCUCUACUAAUGCAGAUACUAUAUAUCUAAUAAAACAACAAUACUUUGCAACAUGAAGUCUUAGGGAAUUGCUCAGCAGCCACACUGAAACAAGUAUGACUGUGGCCGGGGUUCAGGUAGCCAGUGUUGGUUAGAAGCUGUACUGUCUUUAAUGACUAUUCGCUGCUGUCUUUGUAUGGUGAUAAUUAAGCUGAGGUGAGGUGUGAUAACCUGAAUUUGAGAGAGAUGGUGGAACUCAGAAAAUGGAGCUUAGAAAGAUCAGAAGAUAUAUGAUAAUGACCAAGGAGUAAAAUGAACUAAGAUUAGGGGAUUGGAGUGUUGAAGUCACCUUGUCAGCCUCCACUCCUUACUCUCCCUAACCCCCAAUCACUUGACAAGUCUUGAUUUUUACCCCUACAACAUCUCUCCCAUUAAUCCUCUUAUUUUUAUUCACACUGCAACCACUUGUCUCUCAUUAUCUGUUACCUGGACUACUGAGAUAAGUUGCUGAUUUGUCUCCCUGCCUCAUAUCUCUCCCCUUUCCAGUCCAUCCUACACAUAGCUGACAGAGUGGUACAGGAGUCUGACCAUAUCAUUCUUCUAAUCAAAAGGCUGUAAUGACUCCCUAUUACCUCUAGUGUAAUAUACAAAUUUUACUAUCAUAUACAAAAAAGUUUGGUAUUAAAAGCCCUUCAAGUCUGGUUGUAGCCUACAUAUCCAAAUUUACUACAUGUUACUCCCUUUCACGUCCUGCCAAAUGGACAUACAUGAUAUUCUUCACAACGUUCUAGCUCCUGCCUCAGUGGCUUCAAACAACAUUUUUCCCAUGCCUGGAAUUCACUCUCAUCUAUGCCUUGGUAAGGGAUUAAGCGGAAGACUGGGCAUUGAGGGCCUGGUUGUCAAGAGCAUGCUCUGUCUGAUGUAAUCACCUGAGUGGAUACUUGGUGAGCCAGCCUUUGGGCAUCUGUAAGGGAAGCCCCUCCUCUCCAAAUCAUGGGUAGAUAUUCUGACUUCUUUCUACCCAUUUGCUGUAUGGUGAGGAGGAGCCUUUUGAUCUGAUGCUGAACCAGAACCUGGUAUUUAUACAAAAGGUACUAUCUGGCCUAAUUGAUCUUUUUCUUUCCCUGGCGAUAAGCACGGAAGAUGAAUUGCCUUGGGAGUCCUGGCUUCAUGGCAGCUCCAGGUGCUGGAGAUUGCUAACCUCCAGCUUCAUCUGGAGCUUGCAAGAAGCCAGGAGAACAUCUGUCUUUGUUGCGUCUAUUUUUUCCUACUCUUAGGUGAAAAAUAUCAGAGAUGGCUACAACCUUUUGAGCAAGUCGCCAGAGAUCCCGAAACUGGAAGCCAUAUCAGAGUUUACCAGCAGCUGAGCCAGGUGAAAUGUACUCAGUAGUCCUGGAACUCUGAAGGAAUAAAUGUUAGCUACCUUCUUGGGAACCCAGCUCACUAGUGAGAGUGAGAGUUGGGAUGAGAACACCAGAAGUCUUUUUGUAUGGGCUGCACCUCUUAAAAUACCUAACUUCCUUCAAAGCACAGCUCAGAAGCCACCUUCUAUGUGAAAUUUUUCUUAGUGGCAGCUAGGUGAUAACACUCUAUAAACCAAUGGACCUGGAGUUGGGAAUCCAGCCUCAAACCCUACUAGUUGUAUGACCCUAGACAGUAACAAGGCCUCUCUGACUAAGUCAAGAAGGGAACAAUUCAAUUCUGCACCUGCCAGAGAACAGAGAAAUACAUUUCAGACAGAAACAUAGAGAGAUGGUCACCCAAGCUUCAAGGAGCAAGACAUUUGGCAAUAUAGAGUCAUGUUGAGAAGAGAAACUGACCCUGGGAAUACAUCAUGAAUACUCUGAAGAGAGAAAGGCUUUCCAAGCUUUGCAGCACCAGGAUAUGUGAGUUAUCUUUGUUACAUGUGAAUCCUGCAGGUGUGCCUCACUGCCAUUGUACUCUAAAUUUCAGUCCACUCUUCCCUUGGACUCUGUAUUUGUGGAAGAGUGUACCUUUGGUUUAUAGGAGAAAUAUUUGCAUGCUAU
This is a long non-coding RNA of Vombatus ursinus (common wombat), 2684 nucleotides long. RefSeq lists it as uncharacterized. The record is from RefSeq and is a predicted model, not a curated record. The transcript is spliced from 3 exons. NCBI's taxonomy places the organism in Eukaryota, Metazoa, Chordata, Mammalia, Diprotodontia, Vombatidae.